Molecule: microRNA precursor, 208 nt
Organism: Oryza sativa Indica Group (long-grained rice)
Lineage: Eukaryota; Viridiplantae; Streptophyta; Magnoliopsida; Poales; Poaceae
Rfam family: MIR812 microRNA precursor family
Source: Rfam
AAUAAGUGUAGUUUUGCACUAUUAACGUUCAACGUUUAACCGAUAGUCUUAUUUGAAUUUUUUUUUAUGAUUAGUAUUUUUAUUGCUAUUAGAUGAUAAAAUAUGAAUAGUACUUUAUGUGUGAUUAAAUAUUUUUAAUUUUUUCACAAUUUUUUAAAUAAGACGGACGGUUAAACAUUGGGCACGGAUAUCCACAUCUGCACUUAUU